RNAcentral lists this ribosomal RNA (440 nucleotides) under uncultured bacterium. RNAcentral's name for it is "partial 16S ribosomal RNA". It matches the Rfam family "Bacterial small subunit ribosomal RNA", at positions 338 to 795 of the family's 1533-position model. The record is from RNAcentral.
CCUACGGGUGGCAGCAGUAGGGAAUCUUGCUCAAUGGGGGAAACCCUGAAGCAGCAACGCCGCGUGGAGGAUGAAGGUUUUAGGAUUGUAAACCCCUUUUGUGAGAGAAGAUAAUGACGGUAUCUCACGAAUAAGCACCGGCUAACUCCGUGCCAGCAGCCGCGGUAAUACGGAGGGUGCAAGCGUUACUCGGAAUCACUGGGCGUAAAGUGUGCGCAGGCGGGUUUGUAAGUCAGAUGUGAAAUCCUGUGGCUUAACUAGAGAACUGCAUUUGAAACUAUGAGUCUAGAGUGUGGGAGAGGUAGGUGGAAUUCUUGGUGUAGGGGUGAAAUGCGUAGAUAUCAAGAGGAAUACUCAGUGCGAAGGCGACCUACUGGAACAUUACUGACGCUGAUGCACGAAAGCGUGGGGAGCAAACAGGAUUAGAUACCCCAGUAGUC